AUUUCCUUCUUGCUAUGUCUUGAGUCACUUGCUCUGGGAAAAGCCAGCUCCUGUGAUAGUCAAGCAAUCCUAUGAAGAGUACCCCAGGGCAAGGAACUGAGCCCCCUGUCGUUAGCCAGAAACCCACUGAAGACUUCCACCAGAAGCCAUGUGAGCGAGCCAUCUUGGAAACCCAUCUUCCCACCUCAGUCAAGUCUUCAGAUGACUGCAGCCCAGGCUGAUACCUUGACUGACACCUUGUAAGAGGCUCUGAGUCAGAAUUGCCAGCUAAGCCAUCCCCCAAAUCUUGACCCAUAGAGACUAGAACACCAAGUAAUUGCGGCAAUGCCACAGCAGAAAGAACCUAUCGUUCCUGGGGCUGGGGAAACAAAGAGAAGAGGAUGACAUUAUUGAAACUUGUGAGGGCUCCCAUAGAGCAGAGAUGCAGACAUCUGAGAAGGAGGCUGCCAUUCAGCUGCUGCUGCUGUCCCCAAGCUUGGAGUGGGGCUCCACGGGGCUGUGACUGGCUGAGGAGUGGGUGUUGGUUGGCUGCUGCUGGGGUCUCCAAGAAGGCACAAUGAAGCUAGUUCUGUGCGUGCUGGGAAAACUGCACACCGGAUUCAACUGCUGCUACUGGAAUGAACUGCCUCUGCUGGAGAAAGAUGCGGGCCUAAGUUCCUGACUUCCUCUGACCGCUCUCCACUGGCCAAACCCAAUGAGAAGACAGAAUUGAGGCUGUCGGUAGUGUGUCCUCAGAGAUCAACCACCUUGGUCAGACAGGAGGUUGAAGAAGGCUGGAAAGCAAAACUGGAGGGUGAACAGAAAAGUUCCAGCAAUCGGGACACUGGGGGCAUUUGACACACAGGUCAGAUAAUAUACAACCACCCUACUCUAUGCAAAAAAUUUAUUUUCAAUACUAUUCAGAAAUAAUUACUUUGAUCUUGAUUUAAUCCUUAGCUUUAAACCAAUUCACAACCUAGAAAGAAUGCAUUGGCCGGGCAUGGUGGCUCACGCCUGUAAUCCCAGCACUGUGGGAGGCCGAGGUGGGCGGAUCACCUGAGGUCGGGAGUUGGAGACCAGACUGACCAACAUGGAGAAACCCUGUCUCUACUAAAAAUACAAAAUUAGCCGGGUAUGGGGGCACAUGCUGGUAAUCCCAGCUACUCAGGAGGCUGAGGCAGGAGAAUCACUUGAACCCGGGAGGCAGAUGUUGCAGUGAGCUGAGAUCGUGCCAUUGCACUCCAGCCUGGGCAACAAGAGUGAAACUCUGUCUCAAAAAAAAAAUGCAUUUAAAUGUACAGGUAUUAUUCAAAUUCAGUAAAACAUAACAUGAAUGAAUUUAAUUUUGCACUUAUUAAAGAAAAAGAUUGCACAUCACAGCUCUAGACUUAAGUUAAAAACUCCACUGGGCAUGUGCAAUGACAGAACUGAAAUAACUCAAGGUAUGUUUCUUCCUCUUUACAAACUUGGCACUGUCAUAGUCUAUUUUGAGUUUAUUGUUUAAAUGUACACAUGUGCCAUACCAUAGGGUUUUGGAGAAAUGAGCUAUAUCCCAAGAGAGUUUCAACAGUUCGAAGCUGUUGAAGACUUACACUUGAAACAAAUAUGUGUAGCUGAGUCUGUGUGUAGCUGUAUUUGGACUAAAUGCUAACUGGAUGUUCUCUGAAUUAACUUCCAUGUGGCAUACGGUGUUUCUUAAAAUAUAAGAUAUGAAGAGCAGGCUAUUUAAAGCUUGCAUACACAUUAUUAAAAUUCAACAUUAACUGCCACAAUAGUUUGAAACUUAGACCAACAAAAGGUUGCUUUACUGAUAUCGUUUAGAUUUGCCAGUGCUUGGUGUUAAUAAAAGCAGAUCAAUUUGGUGUGGGUUUCAUUAUUGCUUUUAAAGUCUCUCUGGGUCAUGCCUGCACUGGGGUGGACUGCUCCCCUGCCCGCCCGUGGCCCACUGCUUCAUUGAGCCCAUCUUUUGGGUGUUUUCUGUCAUAACUUCUGCUUGCUCAAUUUUCUGCUUACUCAUAACUUCGCCUCUCACAAGAUCUUGUGAGCUGCUCUCACCAGUCCUUACCUUCCUACUUUGGGUCCCAUUGUCUCCUUUCUUAAUCUCCCAGAAUGACGUAAUUCAAAUCCCUGCAAGAGAGACUUUUAUUUGGCCAGCACAUCUUUUGGAGCAGACAAUAUCACUGGCUUUCAGCUAGACGGUGCAUUGACCCUAUUGGCUCUGGUAACCAGAGGAGGAUGGGUUCACUGACCCAAAUCAUGCCUGUCCAGAAGGGGCUCUGUGCAACACAGUUUCCGGGAUUGGUGAGUGUAAUGCCCGGAAAGUUUGAACAUGCAUAGAAAUCCCUAAGGCAAACAAGAAUUUAUUUGUAAUAUAGUAGAUAGAGCGCUGGAUGUGGAGUCAGGUGUACCUGGUCUUAAAUCCGCUCUGUGAUGUUUUUGCAAGUCUGAUAUUUCCUCAUCCUUAGUUUGCUUGUAGCGAAAUAGGUGUUUUGGCUGGACGUGGUGGCUCAUGCCUGUAAUCCCAGCACUUUGGGAGGCUGGGGCGGGUGGAUCACCUGAAGUCAGGAGUUCGAGACCAGCCUGACCAACAUGGUGAAACCCCGUCUCUACUAAAAAUGUGAAAAUUAGCCGGGCGUGGUGGUGCACUCCUGUAAUCUCAGCUACUCAGGAGGCUGCGGCAGGAGAAUCACCUGAACCUGGGAGGUGGAGGUUGCCGUGAGCCAAGAUCGUGCCAUUGCACUCCAGCCUGGGAAACAAGAGUGAAACUCUGUCUUGGAAAAAUAAAAAAUAAAUAAAUAAAUAAAAACAGAUGCUUCAUUUAGGUAGAGAAUGCAAGCCCUAAAACUUAAAAAUGCUGAAACGAAGUCAUAGCAAGAAGUCUAGCUGUGGGUGGCUGCCGGCAUUGGUUCAGGGUCAGCUUCUCAGAGCAUCUCUUGGCCUUUCUCCUAUACUUGUCCCACCACAGUUGCAUGAUGGCUUUUACAGCUGUAGACAUCCUGUCCUUCUCCAGAUAGGAAGAAAGGGGAGGUGGUGAUGAGCCCAUGGACCCAAGUUUAUGCCUAUUAGGAAAAGCGAAGGGCUCCCCAGACUCCCAGCAGAUUUGCACUGAUGUCUCUUCUGCCAAGGCAGUGUACAAGGCCACCCCUGGCUACAGGGCAGGCUAGGACAGGGGUAUUUGUGUGGGGCUAGACAUAGGUUUCCCAGAACAAAACUGAGAUUAUACCAGCAGAAACACAGGAGAGGGGACAGGCAUUAGGAAGGUGGGUGGGAUAUCGCAAAGGGGUUAAAUCUAUCUGAUCUGUUUCCUUCCAGGGUGGUUGUGAGGAUUAGACAUUUGUGAAAUGUGCUAUGGGGUUGUAUUAGUCCAUUCUCACACUGCUAUAAAAAGCUGCCUGAGACUGAGUCAUUUAUAAACAAAAGAGGGUUAAUUGACUCAUAGCUCUGCAUGGCUGGGGAGGUUUCAGAAAACUUACAAUCAUGGUGGAAGGCAAAGGGGAAGCAAGUACUUUCUUCACAAGGCAGCAGGAGAGACAGGAAGUACCACACUUUAAAACCACCAGCUCUGGUGAGAACUCACUCACUAUCACGAGACCAGCAUGGGGAAAAUCACCCCCAUGAUCCAAUCACUUCCCACCAGGUCCCUCCGUCAACAUAUGGGGAUUACAAUUUGAGAUGAGAUUUCGGUGGGGAAGCAGAGCCACAUCAUAUCAGGGGCCCUUCUCAAAAUGAAAACAUGAAGCUCCCCUACUUGAUCAUUCUAUUUCCUAUGGCUGUUUUCCUAAAGAUCGGCCCUUUUUUCCACUUUACUUUGAGAACCACCAAACAAAAUUGAGUCUGGCCUGACACUGCGUACCCUUUUCCCUUGCAACCUCAUCUCUUCAUGUGCCCUUUGCCCUCUGAUGACUCUAACCUCUUUCGAAGGUCCUUGAAUUCACUAAGAUUUGUUUACUCAAGGGCCUUUACUUUUGCAAUUUUCCCUGCUUGGAGCAAUCUUCCUCCUUUCUGUUCCUUCUGCAGAGAAGUCUACCCUGACUCUCAACCAAUGUGAAAAAUCCCCUUGCUCUUUCCUGGCUUUCUUUCAGAGUGCCGAGCACAGUCUUCAUUUCUGGAUAGUCUAUUGAUUAGCAUUUAUCUGCUUGAAAGGCAGCCUAACUGUAGCAUUUGAGGGCCUGAGUGCUGGAGCUAGACUACCUGGAUUUAAGCGCUUCCCAGCUGUGUGAUCCCGGGAAAGUUAUUUUAAUGUCUGGUGCCUCAGUUUCCUCAUCUGUAAAAAUAGAGAUAUUAAUAUCACCUACUUCAUAGGGUUGUGGAGGGGAUUAACUGUUUAUAUUUGUAAAGUGCUUAGAGCAGUGCUCUGUGCAUAGCAGAGAUUAUGCGAGUAUUACAUAAAUAAAAGAAAUAAUACCUGUUUCCUCCACGAUACUGUGUGAUCUAUAAAGAGGAGAACUGUAUCUGUUCUUUCACUGUAGUGGUUAGCACAGUGCCAGGCCAUGUUAUUGUUGUUGUUGCUGUUGUUUUACAUCCAGCGAGUAUUAAAUAUUUGCCAAAUAAAUGAAUAAAG
RNAcentral lists this long non-coding RNA (4540 nucleotides) under Homo sapiens (human). RNAcentral describes it as "HSALNT0086428". Lineage: Eukaryota; Metazoa; Chordata; Mammalia; Primates; Hominidae. The record is from RNAcentral.